This is a long non-coding RNA of Nyctereutes procyonoides (raccoon dog), 801 nucleotides long. RefSeq lists it as uncharacterized. NCBI's taxonomy places the organism in Eukaryota, Metazoa, Chordata, Mammalia, Carnivora, Canidae. The transcript is spliced from 4 exons. The record is from RefSeq and is a predicted model, not a curated record.
GCUCUGGGAGGGAUGGCUUCGGCGCUUGGGCCACUUGCAUCAUGCUCCGCUCACACCGAAAUUGUAGAAAUAGAUGGAUUUGUUUAAUUCCCGCAUUGUAACAGGGUAUUUUUAAUAGCUGCAGGAAAGUGCUUCAUUGGCAAGGAUCGGAGAAGAGCAAUUCGGCCCACAUUCAGGAAGGCAUACAGCAGGCAUCAAGAUGAGAAAUGCCAUUGUAGCUGGUGACUUCGUAUAGGAUGGAGCAGUCUGCCAUUUUCCAAAUGUGAAUGGUUCACAGGCCAUACCUUCUUCUAGAACAGCUACGAUGCUUCACCCAGACCGAUGCACAUCACAUCAGAGAGGAAGACACAUGUGUGAUUCAUUUUGUUAAGCCUCAAGUCUAAGGAUUUACCUAAAGACUCAGGAAUGUUGUGAGGCUGCUCUUGAUCCGCACUGAGAAGGAUAUUGAAGCAGCAGCCUCUGGUAAGAAGAUACGUUGAAACCAGAGAAGACCUCAUCACAGGGCACACAGCGGAGCAGGACUGCCUAGUAAGGGUAUUCUUGAAAACCAACACCUCCUCCCUUGGCGCACCCGGGGUGUCCUCAGGCCAUCUCCGCCAGUGGAUCAAGUCACACCCUUUGGGCUGCCACCAACUGCAGGACGGCCUGCCCGCUGCUUCUUGGCUGCUCCCAGAUUGGCCACUUUCCUUCUGGAAAUACCGCUAUAUCCACCAGUCAUGGCUCGCUUGCCUAUAUGAUUGAAAGACCAGACAAUGCCUAGUUUAAUCCAGUGUAAUUUAAUAAAUAUUCAUUAAACACUUA